This 211-nucleotide ribosomal RNA is filed under the name uncultured bacterium. RNAcentral's name for it is "partial 16S ribosomal RNA". It matches the Rfam family "Bacterial small subunit ribosomal RNA", at positions 1290 to 1500 of the family's 1533-position model. The record is from RNAcentral.
AGUUCGGAUUGUAGUCUGNAACCCGACUACAUGAAGCUGGAAUCGCUAGUAAUCGCAGGUCAGCAUACUGCGGUGAAUACGUUCCCGGGUCUUGUACACACCGCCCGUCACACCAUGGGAGCCGGAAAUGCCCGAAGCCAGUGACCCAACCUUAGGGAGGGAGCUGUCGAAGGUGGAGCCGGUAACUGGGGUGAAGUCGUAACAAGGUAGC